This 471-nucleotide ribosomal RNA is filed under the name Nocardiopsis sp. RNAcentral describes it as "bacterial SSU rRNA". It matches the Rfam family "Bacterial small subunit ribosomal RNA", at positions 123 to 595 of the family's 1533-position model. The record is from RNAcentral. Lineage: Bacteria; Bacillati; Actinomycetota; Actinomycetes; Streptosporangiales; Nocardiopsidaceae.
AACCUGCCCCUGACUCUGGGAUAAGCGGUGGAAACGCCGUCUAAUACCGGAUACGACCCGCCACCUCAUGGUGGAGGGUGGAAAGUUUUUCGGUCAGGGAUGGGCUCGCGGCCUAUCAGCUUGUUGGUGGGGUAACGGCCUACCAAGGCGAUUACGGGUAGCCGGCCUGAGAGGGCGACCGGCCACACUGGGACUGAGACACGGCCCAGACUCCUGCGGGAGGCAGCAGUGGGGAAUAUUGCGCAAUGGGCGAAAGCCUGACGCAGCGACGCCGCGUGGGGGAUGACGGCCUUCGGGUUGUAAACCUCUUUUACCACCAACGCAGGCUUCCAGUUCUCUGGAGGUUGACGGUAGGUGGGGAAUAAGGACCGGCUAACUACGUGCCAGCAGCCGCGGUAAUACGUAGGGUCCGAGCGUUGUCCGGAAUUAUUGGGCGUAAAGAGCUCGUAGGCGGCGUGUCGCGUCUGCUGU